GACGAACGCUGGCGGCGUGCUUAACACAUGCAAGUCGAACGGUGAAGCGCCUUCCUUUUUGGUGGGUGUGGAUGAGUGGCGAACGGGUGAGUAACACGUGAGUAACCUGCCCCCUUCUUCUGGAUAACCGCAUGAAAGUGUGGCUAAUACGGGAUAUUCUGGGUCUGUCGCAUGAUGGGUCUGGGAAAGAUAUUGUUUCGGUGGGGGAUGGGCUCGCGGCCUAUCAGCUUGUUGGUGGGGUGAUGGCCUACCAAGGCGGUGACGGGUAGCCGGCCUGAGAGGGUGGACGGUCACACUGGGACUGAGACACGGCCCAGACUCCUACGGGAGGCAGCAGUGGGGAAUAGUGCACAAUGGGCGCAAGCCUGAUGCAGCGACGCCGCGUGAGGGAUGGAGGCCUUCGGGUUGUGAACCUCUUUCGCCAGUGAAGCAGGACUGCCUCGUUUGUGGGUGGGUUGACGGUAGCUGGAUAAGAAGCGCCGGCUAACUACGUG
Molecule: ribosomal RNA, 494 nt
Filed under: uncultured bacterium
Lineage: Bacteria
Description: partial 16S ribosomal RNA
Rfam family: Bacterial small subunit ribosomal RNA
Source: RNAcentral